Molecule: signal recognition particle RNA, 289 nt
Filed under: Oncorhynchus mykiss (rainbow trout)
Lineage: Eukaryota; Metazoa; Chordata; Actinopteri; Salmoniformes; Salmonidae
Description: Metazoan signal recognition particle RNA (ENSOMYG00000071551.1)
Rfam family: Metazoan signal recognition particle RNA
About the family: The signal recognition particle (SRP) is a universally conserved ribonucleoprotein. It is involved in the co-translational targeting of proteins to membranes. The eukaryotic SRP consists of a 300-nucleotide 7S RNA and six proteins: SRPs 72, 68, 54, 19, 14, and 9.
Source: RNAcentral
GCCGGGUGCGGUGGCAUGUGCCUGUAAUCCAUCACUGGGAGGCUGAGGUUGGUGGAUCAAGUGAGCUGAGGAGCUCUGGGCUGCAGCACGCUAUGUCGAACGGGUGUCCACGCUAAGUUCGGUAUCGAUUGGUGUUCCUGGGGGGACCGGGACCACCAGGGUUGUCUAAGGAGGGGUGACCGGUAGGUUGGAAACGAAGCAGGUCAAAUCCCCGUGCUGUCCAGUAGUGGGAUAAUACCUGUGGUAGAUGCAUGCAGUGCAGCCUUGGCAAAACAUUGACCUAUCUUUA